RNAcentral lists this ribosomal RNA (523 nucleotides) under uncultured Acidobacteriota bacterium. Its description in RNAcentral is "bacterial SSU rRNA". It matches the Rfam family "Bacterial small subunit ribosomal RNA", at positions 1 to 523 of the family's 1533-position model. The record is from RNAcentral. Lineage: Bacteria; Pseudomonadati; Acidobacteriota.
AAAAAAAAGAGUUUGAUCCUGGCUCAGAAUGAACGCUGGCGGCGUGCUUUACACAUGCAAGUCGAGCGAGGCGUGUAGCAAUACACAGUUGAGCGGCGAACGGGUGAGUAACGCGUGGAUACCUGCCCUUCAGUGGGGAACAACCGGGGGAAACUCCGGCUAAUACCGCAUACGACCGAGAGGUGAAAGGGGCCUGCAAGGGUCUCGCUGAUGGAGGGGUCCGCGUCCGAUUAGCUAGUUGGCGGGGUAAUGGCCCACCAAGGCUACGAUCGGUAGCCGGCCUGAGAGGGUGAUCGGCCACACUGGAACUGAGACACGGUCCAGACUCCUACGGGAGGCAGCAGUGGGGAAUUUUGCGCAAUGGGCGAAAGCCUGACGCAGCAACGCCGCGUGGAGGAUGAAGGUCUUUGGAUUGUAAACUCCUGUCAGCAGGGAAAAAGCGACUUGACCUCAUACGUCAGGGAGUUGAUUGUACCUGCAGAGGAAGCCCCGGCUAACUCUGUGCCAGCAGCAGCCGCCGUAA